UGGGGAAUAUUGGACAAUGGGCGCAAGCCUGAUCCAGCAAUGCCGCGUGGAUGAAGAAGGUCUUCGGAUUGUAAAGUCCUUUCGGCGGGGACGAUGAUGACGGUACCCGCAGAAGAAGCCCCGGCUAACUUCGUGCCAGCAGCCGCGGUAAUACGAAGGGGGCUAGCGUUACUCGGAAUGACUGGGCGUAAAGGGCGCGUAGGCGGUUUGGACAGUUAGGCGUGAAAUUCCUGGGCUCAACCUGGGGGCUGCGCUUAAUACAUCCAGACUUGAGUGUGGAAGAGUGUCGUGGAAUUCCCAGUGUAGAGGUGAAAUUCGUAGAUAUUGGGAAGAACACCGGUGGCGAAGGCGGCGACCUGGUCCAUUACUGACGCUGAGGCGCGAAAGCGUGGGGAGCAAACA
Molecule: ribosomal RNA, 402 nt
Filed under: uncultured bacterium
Lineage: Bacteria
Description: bacterial SSU rRNA
Rfam family: Bacterial small subunit ribosomal RNA
Source: RNAcentral